GAUGAACGCUGGCGGCGUGCCUAAUACAUGCAAGUCGAGCGAACAGAUGAGGAGCUUGCUCCUCUGACGUUAGCGGCGGACGGGUGAGUAACACGUGGAUAACCUACCUAUAAGACUGGGAUAACUUCGGGAAACCGGAGCUAAUGCCGGAUAAUAUAUUGAACCGCAUGGUUCAAUAGUGGAAGACGGUUUUGCUGUCACUUAUAGAUGGAUCCGCGCCGCAUUAGCUAGUUGGUAAGGUAACGGCUUACCAAGGCAACGAUGCGUAGCCGACCUGAGAGGGUGAUCGGCCACACUGGAACUGAGACACGGUCCAGACUCCUACGGGAGGCAGCAGUAGGGAAUCUUCCGCAAUGGGCGAAAGCCUGACGGAGCAACGCCGCGUGAGUGAUGAAGGUCUUCGGAUCGUAAAACUCUGUUAUUAGGGAAGAACAAAUGUGUAAGUAACUAUGCACGUCUUGACGGUACCUAAUCAGAAAGCCACGGCUAACUACGUG
RNAcentral lists this ribosomal RNA (497 nucleotides) under uncultured bacterium. Its description in RNAcentral is "partial 16S ribosomal RNA". It matches the Rfam family "Bacterial small subunit ribosomal RNA", at positions 28 to 507 of the family's 1533-position model. The record is from RNAcentral.